RNAcentral lists this unclassified non-coding RNA (395 nucleotides) under soil metagenome. RNAcentral's name for it is "partial contains 5.8S ribosomal RNA, internal transcribed spacer 2, and large subunit ribosomal RNA". The stretch from base 1 to 122 matches the Rfam family "5.8S ribosomal RNA", at positions 35 to 154 of the family's 154-position model. The record is from RNAcentral.
GAUGAAGAACGCAGCGAAAUGCGAUACUUGGUGUGAAUUGCAGAAUCCCGUGAACCAUCGAGUCUUUGAACGCAAGUUGCGCCCGAAGCCAUCAGGUUGAGGGCACGUCUGCCUGGGCGUCACAUAUCGUUGCCCAAUGCCUAUUGCAGUGCAAUAGGAAUUUCUAGGGCGAAUGAUGGCUUCCCGUGAGCGUUGUUGCCUCGCGGUUGGUUGAAAAUCGAGUCCUUGGUAGGGUGUGCCAUGGUAGAUGGUGGUCGAGUUAGAACGAUACCGAUCAUGUGCAUGCUCCCCAAAAUAUGGCCUCUAUGACCCACACGCGUCUUUUGGCGCUCAUGACGAGACCUCAGGUCAGGCGGGGCUACCCGCUGAAUUUAAGCAUAUCAAUAAGCGGAGGA